Cygnus atratus (black swan) is the source of this 3973-nucleotide long non-coding RNA. RefSeq lists it as uncharacterized. Lineage: Eukaryota; Metazoa; Chordata; Aves; Anseriformes; Anatidae. The transcript has 4 exons. The record is from RefSeq and is a predicted model, not a curated record.
AGAUUAAAUGGGCAGAUUAUUCUAAAUUCAUUAUAACAUUGUUGCCUGUGUCUGCUCCCAAAAACUUCAUUUUUGUUUUCUGUACUUUGUUUUUACUUAGUGUAGCUUAUGGGCUGAACCCGUUCAGUGAGCUGAUGCUGAGGAUCACCAGUGACUUCCAUCCGCCCUCUUUCUUCGCUGCCUCAUAUGUUGCCAGCAAGAGUUGGUUCUGCCAGCAUCUGUGAUAUCUGGAUAACCGUGACCGCACUAUGAGAUGUAUUAGAAGAUAUACCAGUAUUGAAAGUCUGCAAGACCCUAUGGGAGGGCUCCUCCAAGAGAAAUGAAAUGUUAAUACAGACUAAUAAAGCACCAUUUUAGAGUACACAGAACUCUAUCAUGAUGGAUAAGUUGUGUGAGAAGACAUCAUAUGUGAGACUACAGAAAGAAGAGAAAAGCAGAAACAGUGAAUCUGGGAAAAUGAAGAUAUUAAAAAAGAAAGGGAAAUGAGUUUGCGCUAAUGACCUAGACGAGGAAAAAGAGUGACUCCAAAAACCCAAAGGACCAUGCUACAUGUAUUAUUUUUUGAAGAAGGAAGUUAAUAAAUCAUUCUUUCAUGUUAUAUAAACACAUCUAAAUGUGUGGAUUUUAUCAACUAUUUUUUAAAACUUUGACUGAAAAUUAUAUACCUUACUCCUAUAAAAUUCACCCUGGAAAACUGUUUUAAAAAAGAAGACUUAGAAAGUGAAUAAUCUAUAUUUUCUUCUCUGAAGUAUAAUGUAUACAUGGAAAUUACAGGUGAUCUAUGGAAAAAAUUGCAAUAUUCAGAAACUGAGUAAUGUCAUAGCAGAUCCAAUUAUGAAAUAAACAUUUCCUUGAAACUGGAAGAUCUUUACGCAUUUGAUAAAAACUGAAAUCAUAUUCUCCAGAGAGAAAAACAGAGGGAAAAGAAGCAUAUGGAGGUCAGUCUGGGUGUGACAUCCAUUACCACAUCUAUCUUUCCUCCAUACUCCCUGUAGAAAGGAGCAGCCUGUUCCCAACCUGGACUGAGAAAGGAUGACUUCACUGAAAGAUCUUUCAAAUAUCAAUGAAGAGAUGGCAUUUGUUUUGCAGGAUAGCUCAGAGAAAAUGCUCAAGGGACAAGAAAACCAUAAGAAAGAACAGUGAUGAGGCAAUGGGAUGCUGUCACUGGAAUGGGACAUUCCACAAUCAUCUGUAGUGGUGCACAAACUCAAAGAAAAAGAAUUAAGGGAAGUUUUAAACACCCUUGUCCUGGAGCAUGUUUGCACUCCUGCCUUCAUCCAGACAUCUUUUAAGAAACAAUAGCAAAAGCUUUGUCAUAUCCCAUAAAAACACCUCCAGCUUGUGGGGUGCUGUAGACAAACUAGACUUUGCCACCCCAGUGUGAGAUUCCUGGACCUGGUCAGCACCUCCGGAGAGAAGAGUUGGGGGGAGCCCUGGAAAGCAAAUCAUGAAGUUCUUCCUGGUCUGACCGCACUCCCAGGCAGGAGGACACAACCACAGGCGUUGGCACUGGCACAAGCCAUCCCACACAGAACAGGGGUGUCCCUGGGCUCCCUUUUCUGUAGGAAAGCACUGGCGUACAAGUACUGGUCUGAGGGGAUUGUAGAGACAUGAGGAGCAGCUGAGGGGUGAAAAGGAUAGGCAGAGCUUUCCUUACAUCUUCUCCCACGUGGUACAUUUGAGAUUUCUGAGCAAGGAAUUGCUGACACUUGCUAGUACCCAUGGGGUAAGAGGUUCUUGUGCCCAUUCACUGGAUGCGAACAAGGUGACAGCAAAGAUGACACAUGAGUGAUGAUACCGAUGUCUCCUUCCAAAGGAGGAAAAAAAAAAAAAACAGUCCUGAAAGGUCCUGAGUAUUAGCCAGAUGUUCAUCACACAAGCGGAGGAAAAAAUAUGAGGGGCUGUAAGAGUUAAUGGUUUUAUUAGCGAAUGCUCUGAGAUCUUGCCGUCAUCACGCCCCGGGGGAAGUGCAGAACUCUCGCUCUGUUCGUAUUUGCAACUCCCUAAAAUAAGACCACAGUGCCAGGGCUUGGAUUUCGCACAUUAAUCCUGAGGGACCUUCCAGCCACAUGGCUCUGAGACAGCAGGAAAAUUCUUUGUUUCUGUUUCUCAAAUCAAUCUGAUUAGCUGGAUUUCUACCAUAUGGGAAGCCUUACAAUGCAGGGACAGUCACUUCUUUAGAAAGUAGCAACAAGCACAGCUUAGAGAAACUUAUAGAAAAAAGGUAGUGUCUGUCAGCAAACACCAAAUGGACUAAGUCUGUACUGAUUUUGGGUUCUGUUUCCCACAGUGGAAGAGUGGGAAAGUUAUCUUCCCUUGCUCUUGGGAUAGAAAUGGUAUCGGAUGAAUCAGCCUCUUACAAGAGCUUUUUGGACAGAAUGCAGGAAAAUCUUCAUAUGAUUUGAAUUUUGUUAACUUGCAAGUGUUAUUAAUUUAUGUUGUUGGCAAACAUACUGUCAUUAAUAAGAGAAUCUGCCAAAUGCUACUACUUUAUGGGACUUAUGACAGUUGAAUCUCUUCGUCAAUAGCUUACAGCCUCACACCUGUUAGCAGGAUUCAUCCUGCCAGGCAGCAGGGACCUUGUGCAUGGGUGCAGUGUAUCGUUAGCUUCCACACUAGCCAGCCAAGUCUAUGGCACUCAGCCCUGUGCAGAAUUGAUUUUUGUGUUUCUGUCCUUUCCAGCAGAACCCUGGAAUAGUGAGAAGAACCAAUAAACAAACAAAAAAGAAAGGAAAAGGCCCAGAAUUUGCUGAAACUGCUAAAUUGAAAAACUCUAUGAUUUAAUCACAGGAACAGGAAGAGACACUAGAGAGAAAAAGAGAUUUGCAGUAGGACCUGUUGUGGAGGAUGAAGGAGAUCUGGAGACAGGUCUUGCUCCUGACACCUUCCCAUUCCCUCUGUAGACCUGCUCAGUCGAAGAACAGAUACUGCAUCCUGGCUGCAAGAGAUUGUCAAGUUCUGGUGCUGGAGGAAGAAAAGCCAUGGACCACACCCACCUGAUGUUCCUCCUCAGGACCACCAAAAUGUGGUGGUGGAUGGCAAUUAUUGCCUAAGGGUGGUGGGAGAACCCAUCUGCCACAUGGCUCUGAAAGGCAGGCAGACGGGAGAAAGCAUCAUCUUCUCUGAUGCGUGCAAUUGCCCAGAAUUGGAGGUCUGAAGGAAGUUGGGUGGCUGUGUGGAUGAGGACAGGGAGAAUUUUCUGGGUGAUUUCACAGGGGAAGUUUUAAAAACUAACAGACCAGGAAGAUCAGUCUGACGAGGCUUUUUAUGAGAGAAAACAAACACGUUAAACACAGCAUGUGGUGUCAGUGAAGGGAUUUAAGCUACUGGGAAGGAAAAGUAGUAGAUUUAGGCUGUGUGUAAAUUCAGAGAAGAAUCUGGGUAAAAUGUAGAGAAAGGAAGUUAAUUGGACUAAAGAUUUACCUUGGUCUGAUUUUAAGGAAUACAGAAAGAUGGAAAAUGAGUCAGGUCAUGGAAGCUCUGCAAAAAGAGAGUUCACAAUCCUUAAAAAAAGUGAGGAGGAAGAACAGAGAAUAUGUUCUUUUUCAAGAAGAAAGCCCUAUAAACUCUGUGACUUGCUGGCUGAGAUUUCACAGGGCAGUGGGCAAAACUAAAGGAGAUGUGAAAAGAAGGAAAGAAGAAAGGUCCUGCUGCAAGUUGACAGUUACUCCCAGGAACUUUACCAAUAACAAGAGCACAAAUUGUUCCAGAGCAGAAAAAGGUAGGAAAGUCAGCAAGAGGUCAGCUACACUGACAUUUACAUUUAUUGACCUUAAUAGAUCUUAUUACUGGUAUAGAUAAAAUGAGCCUUUCUAGGGAAACCUCCUUUUCCCCUUGCUCUCAACUCAGGUCUGGUUCUGAGUCACAAUCUCAAAAAUUGCAAUUUCAGCUUCAGUUCCUUGCCUGAAGAAAUGUGUUAAAAUAUAGGUCUUUGUUGUUGUUAAACCCAGGAGAAUGCGAAAGAGGAAAAAAA